This 440-nucleotide ribosomal RNA is filed under the name uncultured bacterium. RNAcentral's name for it is "bacterial SSU rRNA". It matches the Rfam family "Bacterial small subunit ribosomal RNA", at positions 338 to 795 of the family's 1533-position model. The record is from RNAcentral.
CCUACGGGGUGCAGCAGUGGGGAAUAUUGCACAAUGGGGGAAACCCUGAUGCAGCAACGCCGCGUGGAGGAUGACACAUUUCGGUGCGUAAACUCCUUUUAUAUAGGAAGAUAAUGACGGUACUAUAUGAAUAAGCACCGGCUAACUCCGUGCCAGCAGCCGCGGUAAUACGGAGGGUGCAAGCGUUACUCGGAAUCACUGGGCGUAAAGCGCGCGCAGGCGGCCUUUUAAGUUGGAUGUGAAAGCCUACGGCUUAACCGUAGAACUGCAUCCAAAACUAUUGGGCUAGAGUGUGGGAGAGGAAGAUGGAAUUAGUUGUGUAGGGGUAAAAUCCGUAGAGAUAACUAGGAAUACCAAAAGCGAAGGCAAUCUUCUGGAACACUACUGACGCUGAGGCGCGAAAGCGUGGGGAGCAAACAGGAUUAGAUACCCGAGUAGUC